CCUACGGGAGGCAGCAGUGAGGAAUAUUGGUCAAUGGUCGGGAGACUGAACCAGCCAAGCCGCGUGAGGGAGGAAGGUACAGAGUAUCGUAAACCUCUUUUGUCAGGGAACAAAGGCGGGGACGUGUCCCCGGAUGAGUGUACCUGAAGAAAAAGCAUCGGCUAACUCCGUGCCAGCAGCCGCGGUAAUACGGAGGAUGCGAGCGUUAUCCGGAUUUAUUGGGGUUAAAGGGUGCGGCGGGGGUUCGUUAAGUCAGCGGUUAAAGGACGGGGCUCAACCCCGGCCCCGCGGUUGAAACUGGCAGUCUCGAGUUGGAGAGAGGUAGGCGGAAUGCGCGGUGUAGCGGUGAAAUGCAUAGAUAUCGCGAAGAACUCCGAUUGCGAAGGCAGCAUGCCGGCUCCACACUGACGCUGAGGCACGAAAGCGUGGGUAUCGAACAGGAUUAGAUACCCGAGUAGUC
Molecule: ribosomal RNA, 460 nt
Filed under: uncultured bacterium
Lineage: Bacteria
Description: partial 16S ribosomal RNA
Rfam family: Bacterial small subunit ribosomal RNA
Source: RNAcentral